GCCGGCAUAGCUCAGCUGGUAGAGCAGCUGAUUUGUAAUCAGCAGGUCGUCGGUUCAAGUCCGUCUGCCGGCU
Molecule: transfer RNA, 73 nt
Filed under: Bacteroidota bacterium
Lineage: Bacteria; Pseudomonadati; Bacteroidota
Description: Bacteroidetes bacterium (activated sludge metagenome) tRNA-Thr
Rfam family: tRNA
About the family: Transfer RNA (tRNA) molecules are approximately 80 nucleotides in length. Their secondary structure includes four short double-helical elements and three loops (D, anti-codon, and T loops).
Source: RNAcentral